This 596-nucleotide ribosomal RNA is filed under the name uncultured bacterium. Its description in RNAcentral is "bacterial SSU rRNA". It matches the Rfam family "Bacterial small subunit ribosomal RNA", at positions 337 to 925 of the family's 1533-position model. The record is from RNAcentral.
UCCUACGGGAGGCAGCAGUGGGGAAUAUUGGACAAUGGGGGGAACCCUGAUCCAGCCAUGCCGCGUGUGUGAAGAAGGCCUUAUGGUUGUAAAGCACUUUAAGCGAGGAGGAGGCGCUCUAGGCUAAUACCCUAGAAGCGUGGACGUUACUCGCAGAAUAAGCACCGGCUAACUCUGUGCCAGCAGCCGCGGUCAUACAGAGGGUGCGAGCGUUAAUCGGAUUUACUGGGCGUAAAGCGUGCGUAGGCGGCCAUUUAAGUCAAAUGUGAAAUCCCCGAGCUUAACUUGGGAAUUGCAUUCGAUACUGGAUGGCUAGAGUAUGGGAGAGGAUGGUAGAAUUCCAGGUGUAGCGGUGAAAUGCGUAGAGAUCUGGAGGAAUACCGAUGGCGAAGGCAGCCAUCUGGCCUAAUACUGACGCUGAGGUACGAAAGCAUGGGGAGCAAACAGGAUUACAUACCCUGGUAGUCCAUGCCGUAAACGAUGUCUACUAACCGUUGGGGUCUUUGAGACUUUAGUGGCGCAGCUAACGCGAUAAGUAGAACGGCUGCGGAAUAGGGUCGCAAGACUGAACUCAGAUGAACUGACGGACGGGCGAU